Small nucleolar RNA from Tachyglossus aculeatus (Australian echidna), 139 nucleotides. NCBI's taxonomy places the organism in Eukaryota, Metazoa, Chordata, Mammalia, Monotremata, Tachyglossidae. The record is from RefSeq and is a predicted model, not a curated record.
CCCCUCUCAGGAUGACACCUGGAGAGUUUCCAGUACUCUACCAGUCUCGGCUAUCGGAGGGAGAGUCAAGCAGAGGCCUCCCCAUUCCAUUCCUAGAUUGGCCAAUGGCUAGAGAGUGGAAGGCAAAUCUGCUACAAGU